UACAGAGGGUGCGAGCGUUAAUCGGAAUUACUGGGCGUAAAGCGUGCGUAGACGGUUAUGUAAGUCGGGUGUGAAAGCCCCGGGCUCAACCUGGGAAUUGCAUUCGAGACUGCAUAGCUAGGGUGCGGAAGAGGGAAGCGGAAUUUCCGGUGUAGCGGUGAAAUGCGUAGUUAUCGGAAGGAACAUCAGUGGCGAAAGCGGCUUCCUGGUCCAGCACCGACGUUCAGGCACGAAAGCGUGGGGAGCAAACAGG
RNAcentral lists this ribosomal RNA (253 nucleotides) under uncultured bacterium. RNAcentral describes it as "partial 16S ribosomal RNA". It matches the Rfam family "Bacterial small subunit ribosomal RNA", at positions 524 to 776 of the family's 1533-position model. The record is from RNAcentral.